GAUGAACGCUGGCGGCGCGCUUAACACAUGCAAGUCGAACGGAAAGGCCUGCUUUCCCUUGUGGAUUGCGGGUACUCGAGUGGCGAACGGGUGAGUAACACGUGAGUGAUCUGCCCCCAACUUGGGUAUAAGCCUGGGAAACUGGGUCUAAUUCCCGAUAGGACUGCAGGGUGGUGCCUGUGGUGGAAAACGAUUUUCUAGUGGUUGGGGAUGAGCUCGCGGCCUAUCAGCUUGUUGGUGGGGUAAUGGCCUACCAAGGCGGCGACGGGUAGCCGGCCUGGGAGGGUGGACGGCCACAUUGGGACUGGGAUACGGCCCAGACGCCUACGGGAGGCAGCAGUGGGGAAUAUUGCACAAUGGGCGGAAGCCUGAUGCAGCGACGCCGCGUGGGGGAUGACGGCCUUCGGGUUGUAAACUCCUUUCGACCGCGAGGAAGCCACCUGGUUGGAAGGGUGGUGACGGUAGUGGUAGAAGAAGCACCGGCUAACUACGUG
RNAcentral lists this ribosomal RNA (494 nucleotides) under uncultured bacterium. RNAcentral's name for it is "partial 16S ribosomal RNA". It matches the Rfam family "Bacterial small subunit ribosomal RNA", at positions 28 to 507 of the family's 1533-position model. The record is from RNAcentral.